UGGGGAAUAUUGGACAAUGGGCGCAAGCCUUAUCCAGCCAUGCCGCGUGAGUGAUGAAGGCCCUAGGGUUGUAAAGCUCUUUCACCGGUGAAGAUAAUGACGGUAACCGGAGAAGAAGCCCCGGCUAACUUCGUGCCAGCAGCCGCGGUAAUACGAAGGGGGCUAGCGUUGUUCGGAUUUACUGGGCGUAAAGCGCACGUAGGCGGACUAUUAAGUCAGGGGUGAAAUCCCGGGGCUCAACCCCGGAACUGCCUUUGAUACUGGUAGUCUUGAGUUCGAGAGAGGUGAGUGGAAUUCCGAGUGUAGAGGUGAAAUUCGUAGAUAUUCGGAGGAACACCAGUGGCGAAGGCGGCUCACUGGCUCGAUACUGACGCUGAGGUGCGAAAGCGUGGGGAGCAAACAGG
Molecule: ribosomal RNA, 404 nt
Filed under: Actinomycetes bacterium
Lineage: Bacteria; Bacillati; Actinomycetota; Actinomycetes
Description: Actinobacteria bacterium partial 16S ribosomal RNA
Rfam family: Bacterial small subunit ribosomal RNA
Source: RNAcentral